GGAGGCAGCUUCAUUUAUAGGAAAAAGAGGGAACCCUAGAUCAUUUACCCUAAUGGGCUGCAGUCUUAACGGGCUCUCCUUAAGAAAUUUUUGGGCCAGGAACCGGGCCGUUACAGAAUGAGCAAAGGUUCCUCACCGUCUAUUCUCUCUUUGCCCGUUUGUUUUUUCCGUGAAGCCAUAUUAGAUAACCGUUUCCGUUGUCUUCUCAAACAUGUCUCUGGGAGUGAACUAUUUCACCUUUUUUCAGAAAAGUUUUAAUUUUUGUAUCCUAAAAAGUUAAGAAAAUGAUAAGGUAAAUAUUAAAUUCAGUUUACUCAUUUUUUGGGUUCCACCAUUUCAAUUAUUUUAAAAUUUGAAAAUAUUAAACUGAAAAACAGCAACCAAACACAAACAUCAAGUUGAACUUUAGUUAGGGGGUAUCAAAGUAAAUAACUACUAAAAAACUA
RNAcentral lists this long non-coding RNA (446 nucleotides) under Brassica napus (rape). Its description in RNAcentral is "long non-coding RNA (BNAP_LNC006864)". Lineage: Eukaryota; Viridiplantae; Streptophyta; Magnoliopsida; Brassicales; Brassicaceae. The record is from RNAcentral.